GCACUGCUGACGAGUCCUACAAUAGGACGAAACGACACUCCAGUGC
RNAcentral lists this non-coding RNA (46 nucleotides) under Schistosoma mattheei. Lineage: Eukaryota; Metazoa; Platyhelminthes; Trematoda; Strigeidida; Schistosomatidae. The record is from RNAcentral.